GUUGUAUAUAAGAACCGCUGCUCCAGGAAUAACAUGAGCCAGUGCGUUCAAGACCUGUGUUUCACGAUUGCAUCACCUGUUAUCGCACUUUGUACUUUUUAUCGUGCAGAACCAAAGUCCGGUGUAAAGUUGUUUAUAAGUUUUUAGCUUGUACCUCUUAAUUUGAAUCCUUGUAAAUAUGAUUGGAUACCAGCCUAGCCGACUUAGCUAGGUUAACUCCGAAGACCUAUCCCAUAUCUUUGGCAAUCCCUCAAACGCUAAACAGUAAAACAGUUCACGUAACUAGACAUUGCUAAGCAUACUCAAAUUAUUUAAUGAUCCUUCUUUCCGUAGGUGAACCUGCGGAAGGAUCAUUAAAUAAUUUGAGUAUGCUUAUGCAUAUUUCUAAUUUACUGUGAACUGUUUUACUGUUUAGCGUUUUGAGGGAUUGCCUAAAGAUUAUAGGGAUAGGUCUUCAGGAUGUUAACCUAGCUAAAGUCAGGCUUAGGCCUGGUAUCCUAAUUCAUUAUUUACCAAAAGAAUUCAGAAUUAAUAUUGUAACAUAAGCGUAAAAAACUUAUAAAACAACUUUUAACAACGGAUCUCUUGGUUCUCGCAUCGAUGAAGAACGUAGCAAAGUGCGAUAACUAGUGUGAAUUGCAUAUUCAGUGAAUCAUCGAGUCUUUGAACGCAUCUUGCGCUCAAUGGUAUUCCAUUGAGCACGCCUGUUUCAGUAUCAACAACAACCCACAUCCACAAUUUUGUUGUGAAUGGAAGUGAGAGUAUCGAUGUAAAAAUUGAACUCUUUAAAACUAUUAGGCCUGAACUAUUGUUCUAUUAGCCUGAACAUUUUUUUAAUAUAAAGGAAUGCUCUAGUUAAAAGACUAUCUUGGGGGCCUCCCAAAUAAAUCAUUUUUUUAAACUUGAUCUGAAAUCAGGUGGGAUUACCCGCUGAACUUAAGCAUAUCAAUAAGCGGAGGAAGGAAGGAUCAUUAAAUAAUUGGAGUAUACUUAUCCAUAUUUUGAUUCACGGUGAAUGUUUUACUGUCAAGCGUUGUGAGGGAUGCCAAAGAUAAGGGAUAGGUCUCAGAAUUACCUAGCUAGUCAGCUAGGCUGGUUCCAAUAAUAUUACAAAAAAUCAAAAUAAAAUGUACACA
This 1136-nucleotide ribosomal RNA is filed under the name Ganoderma lucidum. Its description in RNAcentral is "eukaryotic LSU rRNA". The stretch from base 566 to 718 matches the Rfam family "5.8S ribosomal RNA". Lineage: Eukaryota; Fungi; Basidiomycota; Agaricomycetes; Polyporales; Polyporaceae. The record is from RNAcentral. RNAcentral also lists the same sequence under 1 other name.